CGCUGUUGCUGUUAAAGGGUUCGUAGUUGAAUUGUGGAGUAUGGCCACGGGAUUCAGUCCCUUUCCCACGGUCUAGGAACGUCCCGACCAUACUCCGAGAACGUCAGAAACUAAGAUCACGGAAGCGUUUUUUACAAACUGCCACCGACUACGCGAGCAAUGUUCGCUGGUGGACGUCCGUGUUUUUUACUGUGACUAAAGAAGUGCGACCAAGGCAGUCCAUCGACAUGAAUUAGAAAGCAUGGGAUAACAAGGCAGCAGCCUAUGAGCUACCGUUUAGGCUUUUGUUGGUUUUAAAGGUUCGUGGGAGAUUACGGGCGUGUAGGACCGGCGUUGGGGGUUUUCCAAAAUCCCCGCGUCUCCUCCUGGCAUCGGAAACGGUGCUUGCGGGRCCUGCUUCGCUCAGGAAUGAAGGAGGKUGCUCGGGGGAAAACGUACUUGGGCGUGA
RNAcentral lists this ribosomal RNA (448 nucleotides) under uncultured marine eukaryote. RNAcentral's name for it is "SSU rRNA". The record is from RNAcentral.